RNAcentral lists this non-coding RNA (31 nucleotides) under Rattus norvegicus (Norway rat). Lineage: Eukaryota; Metazoa; Chordata; Mammalia; Rodentia; Muridae. The record is from RNAcentral.
UUUCUGAUAGAAGAUGCCAUGUCUCACCUGU